RNAcentral lists this ribosomal RNA (445 nucleotides) under uncultured bacterium. Its description in RNAcentral is "partial 16S ribosomal RNA". It matches the Rfam family "Bacterial small subunit ribosomal RNA", at positions 354 to 796 of the family's 1533-position model. The record is from RNAcentral.
GUGAGGAAUAUUGGUCAAUGGGCGGGAGCCUGAACCAGCCAAGUCGCGUGAAGGAAGAAGGAUCUAUGGUUCGUAAACUUCUUUUGCAGGGGAAUAAAGUGCAGGACGUGUACUGUUUUGUAUGUACCCUGAGAAUAAGGAUCGGCUAACUCCGUGCCAGCAGCCGCGGUAAUACGGAGGAUCCGAGCGUUAUCCGGAUUUAUUGGGUUUAAAGGGUGCGUAGGUGGUUUGAUAAGUCAGCGGUGAAAGUUUGCAGCUUAACUGUAAAAAUGCCGUUGAAACUGUCGGACUUGAGUGUAGAUGAGGUAGGCGGAAUGCGUGGUGUAGCGGUGAAAUGCAUAGAUAUCACGCAGAACUCCGAUUGCGAAGGCAGCUUACUAAGCUACAACUGACACUGAAGCACGAAAGCGUGGGGAUCAAACAGGAUUAGAUACCCUUGUAGUCC